This is a non-coding RNA of Streptomyces sp. SolWspMP-5a-2, 69 nucleotides long. Lineage: Bacteria; Bacillati; Actinomycetota; Actinomycetes; Kitasatosporales; Streptomycetaceae. The record is from Rfam.
CUUCAACGAGCCGAGCAGCAGCGGCCGUUCACGCCCCUGGCCGUAGGUGGCCAGCAGCGCCUGCGCCUC